CGGCCCCUAAGGCGAGGCCGAAAGGCGUAGUCGAUGGGAACCAGGUUAAUAUUCCUGGGCCAGGAGAUGGUGACGGAUCAUAGAGGUAGUUCGGUCUUAACGGAUUGAUCGGGCUGCUGAGUGGUCCCUGGAAAUAGCCCUCCAUGAGACCGUACCCUAAACCGACACAGGUGGACUGGUAGAGAAUACCAAGGCGCUUGAGAGAACCACAUUUAAGGAACUCGGCAAAAUGCCUCCGUAAGUUCGCGAGAAGGAGGCCCCGUUUGUACGCAAGUAUGGGCGGGGGGCACAAACCAGGGGGUGGCGACUGUUUACUAAAAACACAGGGCUCUGCGAAGCCGUAAGGCGACGUAUAGGGUCUGACGCCUGCCCGGUGCCGGAGGGUUAAAAGGAGAUGUGCAAGCAUUGAAUUGAAGCCCCGGUAAACGGCGGCCGUAACAAUAACGGUCCUAAGGUAGCGAAAUUCCUUGUCGGGUAAGUUCCGACCUGCACGAAUGGCGUAACGACUUCCCCGCUGUCUCAAAUGUGGACUCAGCGAAAUUGAAUUGUCUGUGAAGAUGCAGACUUCCCGCGGUUAGACGGAAAGACCCCAUGCACCUUUACUAUAGCUUCGCACUGGCAUCAGGAUUGUGAUGUGCAGGAUAGGUGGUAGGCAUUGAAACCGGGACGCCAGUUCCGGUGGAGCCAUCCUUGAGAUACCACCCUUCGCACUCUUGAUGUCUAACCGCGGCCCGUUAUCCGGGUCCGGGACCCUGCGUGGUGGGUAGUUUGACUGGGGCGGUCGCCUCCCAAAGAGUAACGGAGGCGCGCGAAGGUUGGCUCAGAGCGGUCGGAAAUCGCUCGUUGAGUGCAAUGGCAGAAGCCAGCCUGACUGCAAGACUGACAAGUCGAGCAGAGACGAAAGUCGGCCAUAGUGAUCCGGUGGUCCCGAGUGGAAGGGCCAUCGCUCAACGGAUAAAAGGUACGCUGGGGAUAACAGGCUGAUGAUGCCCAAGAGUCCAUAUCGACGGCAUCGUUUGGCACCUCGAUGUCGGCUCAUCUCAUCCUGGGGCUGGAGCAGGUCCCAAGGGUAUGGCUGUUCGCCAUUUAAAGAGGUACGUGAGCUGGGUUUAGAACGUCGUGAGACAGUUCGGUCCCUAUCUGCCGUGGGUGUAGGAUACUUGAGAGGAGUUGCCCCUAGUACGAGAGGACCGGGGUGAACGUUCCACUGGUGGACCAGUUGUCGUGCCAACGGCAGUGCUGGGUAGCUAUGAACGGACAGGAUAAACGCUGAAGGCAUCUAAGCGUGAAGCCCCCCUCAAAACAAGGUAUCCCUUGAGAGCCGUGGAAGACCACCACGUCGAUAGGCCGGAGAUGUAAGCGCAGCAAUGCGUUCAGUUGACCGGUACUAAUGGCUC
This 1397-nucleotide ribosomal RNA is filed under the name metagenome. RNAcentral's name for it is "bacterial LSU rRNA". It matches the Rfam family "Bacterial large subunit ribosomal RNA", at positions 1385 to 2910 of the family's 2925-position model. The record is from RNAcentral.